Molecule: ribosomal RNA, 253 nt
Filed under: uncultured bacterium
Lineage: Bacteria
Description: partial 16S ribosomal RNA
Rfam family: Bacterial small subunit ribosomal RNA
Source: RNAcentral
UACGUAGGGGGCUAGCGUUGUCCGGAUUUAUUGGGCGUAAAGAGCGUGUAGGCGGCCAGGUAGGUCCGUUGUGAAAACUCGAGGCUCAACCUCGAGACGUCGGCGGAAACCCUCUGGCUAGAGUCCGGAAGAGGAGAGUGGAAUUCCUGGUGUAGCGGUGAAAUGCGCAGAUAUCAGGAAGAACACCCGUGGCGAAGGCGGCUCUAUGGGACGGUACUGACGCUGAGACGCGAAAGCGUGGGGAGCAAACAGG